GAUGAACGCUGGCGGCGUGCCUAACACAUGCAAGUCGAACGAAGCACCUUACCUGAUUCUUCGGAUGAAAGUUUGGUGACUGAGUGGCGGACGGGUGAGUAACGCGUGGGUAACCUGCCCUGUACAGGGGGAUAACAGCUGGAAACGGCUGCUAAUACCGCAUAAGCGCACGAGGAGACAUCUCCUUGUGUGAAAAACUCCGGUGGUACAGGAUGGGCCCGCGUCUGAUUAGCUGGUUGGCAGGGUAACGGCCUACCAAGGCAACGAUCAGUAGCCGGUCUGAGAGGAUGAACGGCCACAUUGGAACUGAGACACGGUCCAAACUCCUACGGGAGGCAGCAGCGGGGAAUAUUGCACAAUGGGGGAAACCCUGAUGCAGCAACGCCGCGUGAGUGAAGAAGUAUUUCGGUAUGUAAAGCUCUAUCAGCAGGGAAGAUAAUGACGGUACCUGACUAAGAAGCUCCGGCUAAAUACGUG
Molecule: ribosomal RNA, 477 nt
Filed under: uncultured bacterium
Lineage: Bacteria
Description: partial 16S ribosomal RNA
Rfam family: Bacterial small subunit ribosomal RNA
Source: RNAcentral